RNAcentral lists this ribosomal RNA (798 nucleotides) under uncultured Proteiniphilum sp. Its description in RNAcentral is "bacterial SSU rRNA". It matches the Rfam family "Bacterial small subunit ribosomal RNA", at positions 8 to 795 of the family's 1533-position model. Lineage: Bacteria; Pseudomonadati; Bacteroidota; Bacteroidia; Bacteroidales; Dysgonomonadaceae. The record is from RNAcentral.
AGAGUUUGAUUCUGGCUCAGGAUGAACGCUAGCGAUAGGCCUAACACAUGCAAGUCGAGGGGCAGCACAUGAAGUAGCAAUACGGAUGGUGGCGACCGGCGCACGGGUGAGUAACGCGUAUGCAACCUGCCUACAACAGGGGAAUAACCCGUUGAAAGACGGACUAAUACCCCAUAACACAGGGAUCCCGCAUGGGAAUGUUUGUUAAAGAUUUAUCGGUUGUAGAUGGGCAUGCGUUCCAUUAGCUGGUUGGUGAGGUAACGGCUCACCAAGGCAACGAUGGAUAGGGGAACUGAGAGGUUUAUCCCCCACACUGGUACUGAGACACGGACCAGACUCCUACGGGAGGCAGCAGUGAGGAAUAUUGGUCAAUGGACGCAAGUCUGAACCAGCCACGUCGCGUGAAGGAAGACGGCCCUACGGGUUGUAAACUUCUUUUGUAAGGGAAUAAAGUGCAGUACGUGUACUGUUUUGCAUGUACCUUACGAAUAAGGAUCGGCUAACUCCGUGCCAGCAGCCGCGGUAAUACGGAGGAUCCGAGCGUUAUCCGGAUUUAUUGGGUUUAAAGGGUGCGCAGGCGGGAGAUUAAGUCGGCGGUGAAAUUUUGCAGCUCAACUGUAAAAGUGCCUUCGAAACUGGUUUUCUUGAGUGUGGAUGAAGUAGGCGGAAUUUGUGGUGUAGCGGUGAAAUGCAUAGAUAUCACGAGGAACUCCGAUUGCGCAGGCAGCUUACUAAACCAUAACUGACGCUCAGGCACGAAGGCGUGGGGAUCAAACAGGAUUAGAUACCCUGGUAGUC